RNAcentral lists this ribosomal RNA (1525 nucleotides) under uncultured beta proteobacterium. RNAcentral's name for it is "bacterial SSU rRNA". It matches the Rfam family "Bacterial small subunit ribosomal RNA". The record is from RNAcentral. Lineage: Bacteria; Pseudomonadati; Pseudomonadota; Betaproteobacteria.
AGAGUUUGAUCCUGGCUCAGAUUGAACGCUGGCGGAAUGCUUUACACAUGCAAGUCGAACGGGGCUUGGGGGCUUGCUCCCGAGUUUAGUGGCGAACGGGUGAGUAAUGCGUCGGAACGUACCGAGUAAUGGGGGAUAACCCGGCGAAAGUCGGAUUAAUACCGCAUACGCCCUGAGGGGGAAAGCAGGGGAUCGCAAGACCUUGCGUUAUUCGAGCGGCCGACGUCUGAUUAGCUAGUUGGUGGGGUAAUGGCUCACCAAGGCGACGAUCAGUAGCGGGUCUGAGAGGAUGAUCCGCCACACUGGAACUGAGACACGGUCCAGACUCCUACGGGAGGCAGCAGUGGGGAAUUUUGGACAAUGGGGGCAACCCUGAUCCAGCCAUUCCGCGUGAGUGAAGAAGGCCUUCGGGUUGUAAAGCUCUUUCAGCAGGAACGAAACGGUAGUCUCUAACAUAGGCUGCUAAUGACGGUACCUGCAGAAGAAGCACCGGCUAACUACGUGCCAGCAGCCGCGGUAAUACGUAGGGUGCGAGCGUUAAUCGGAAUUACUGGGCGUAAAGCGUGCGCAGGCGGAUUGUUAAGCAAGACGUGAAAUCCCCGGGCUUAACCUGGGAAUGGCGUUUUGAACUGGCAGUCUAGAGUGUGUCAGAGGGGGGUAGAAUUCCACGUGUAGCAGUGAAAUGCGUAGAGAUGUGGAGGAAUACCGAUGGCGAAGGCAGCCCCCUGGGAUAACACUGACGCUCAUGUACGAAAGCGUGGGUAGCAAACAGGAUUAGAUACCCUGGUAGUCCACGCCCUAAACGAUGUCAACUGGUUGUUGGGGGAGUGAAAUCCCUUAGUAACGAAGCUAACGCGUGAAGUUGACCGCCUGGGGAGUACGGUCGCAAGAUUAAAACUCAAAGGAAUUGACGGGGACCCGCACAAGCGGUGGAUGAUGUGGAUUAAUUCGAUGCAACGCGAAAAACCUUACCUACCCUUGACAUGUCCAGAAUCCUGCAGAGAUGCGGGAGUGCCCGAAAGGGAAUUGGAACACAGGUGCUGCAUGGCUGUCGUCAGCUCGUGUCGUGAGAUGUUGGGUUAAGUCCCGCAACGAGCGCAACCCUUAUCAUUAGUUGCUACGCAAGGGCACUCUAAUGAGACUGCCGGUGACAAACCGGAGGAAGGUGGGGAUGACGUCAAGUCCUCAUGGCCCUUAUGGGUAGGGCUUCACACGUCAUACAAUGGUCGGUACAGAGGGUUGCCAAGCCGCGAGGUGGAGCCAAUCCCAGAAAGCCGAUCGUAGUCCGGAUUGUUCUCUGCAACUCGAGAGCAUGAAGUCGGAAUCGCUAGUAAUCGCGGAUCAGCAUGUCGCGGUGAAUACGUUCCCGGGUCUUGUACACACCGCCCGUCACACCAUGGGAGUGGAAUCUGGCAGAAGUAGGUAGCCUAACCGCAAGGGGGGCGCUUACCACGCUGGGUUUCAUGACUGGGGUGAAGUCGUAACAAGGUAGCCGUAGGGGAACCUGCGGCUGGAUCACCUCCUU